UAAGACGAAGGAUCCAAGCGUUAUCCGGAUUCAUUGGGUUUAAAGGGUGCGUAGGCGGGUUUAUAAGUCAGUGGUGAAAGCCGAUCGCUUAACGAUCGAACUGCCAUUGAUACUGUAGACCUAGAGUAUAGAUGAUGUUGGCGGAAUAUGACAUGUAGCGGUGAAAUGCAUAGAUAUGUCAUAGAACACCGAUUGCGAAGGCAGCUGACAAAACUAUAACUGACGCUGAUGCACGAAAGUGCGGGGAUCAAACAGGAUUAGAUACCCUGGUAGUCCGCACAGUAAACGAUGAUAACUAGUUGUUUGCGAUAUACAGUAAGCGACCAAGCGAAAGCGAUAAGUUAUCCACCUGGGGAGUACGCUCGCAAGAGUG
This 373-nucleotide ribosomal RNA is filed under the name uncultured bacterium. RNAcentral's name for it is "bacterial SSU rRNA". It matches the Rfam family "Bacterial small subunit ribosomal RNA", at positions 521 to 896 of the family's 1533-position model. The record is from RNAcentral.